Molecule: ribosomal RNA, 253 nt
Filed under: uncultured prokaryote
Description: partial 16S ribosomal RNA
Rfam family: Bacterial small subunit ribosomal RNA
Source: RNAcentral
ACGUAGGGGGCAAGCGUUGUUCGGAAUUACUGGGCGUAAAGGGCGCGUAGGCGGCACAGCAAGUCGGGAGUGAAAGCCCGGGGCUCAACCCCGGAACGGCUUUCGAAACUGCUGAGCUAGAGUGCGGAAGGGGCAACCGGAAUUCCCAGUGUAGCGGUGAAAUGCGUAGAUAUUGGGAAGAACACCUGAGGCGAAGGCGGGUUGCUGGGCCGACACUGACGCUGAGGCGCGAAAGCCAGGGGAGCAAACGGGA